GGCGGGCUGGCGGGGCUCGGUGUGCAGCAGCGCGCUCUGCAGCACCGCGGCGAGGGUCAGUUCGAGGUUCUCGCGGGCCA
Molecule: transfer RNA, 80 nt
Filed under: Planosporangium flavigriseum
Lineage: Bacteria; Bacillati; Actinomycetota; Actinomycetes; Micromonosporales; Micromonosporaceae
Description: tRNA-Cys
Source: RNAcentral